RNAcentral lists this ribosomal RNA (484 nucleotides) under uncultured bacterium. RNAcentral's name for it is "partial 16S ribosomal RNA". It matches the Rfam family "Bacterial small subunit ribosomal RNA", at positions 30 to 507 of the family's 1533-position model. The record is from RNAcentral.
AUUGAACGCUGGCGGCAGGCCUAACACAUGCAAGUCGAGCGGAUGAAGGGAGCUUGCUCCUGGAUUCAGCGGCGGACGGGUGAGUAAUGCCUAGGAAUCUGCCUGGUAGUGGGGGAUAACGUCCGGAAACGGGCGCUAAUACCGCAUACGUCCUGAGGGAGAAAGUGGGGGAUCUUCGGACCUCACGCUAUCAGAUGAGCCUAGGUCGGAUUAGCUAGUUGGUGGGGUAAAGGCCUACCAAGGCGACGAUCCGUAACUGGUCUGAGAGGAUGAUCAGUCACACUGGAACUGAGAAAAGGUCCAGACUCCUACGGGAGGCAGCAGUGGGGAAUAUUGGACAAUGGGCGAAAGCCUGAUCCAGCCAUGCCGCGUGUGUGAAGAAGGUCUUCGGAUUGUAAAGCACUUUAAGUUGGGAGGAAGGGCAGUAAGUUAAUACCUUGCUGUUUUGACGUUACCAACAGAAUAAGCACCGGCUAACUUCGUG